RNAcentral lists this ribosomal RNA (496 nucleotides) under uncultured bacterium. Its description in RNAcentral is "partial 16S ribosomal RNA". It matches the Rfam family "Bacterial small subunit ribosomal RNA", at positions 28 to 507 of the family's 1533-position model. The record is from RNAcentral.
GAUGAACGCUGGCGGCGUGCCUAAUACAUGCAAGUCGAGCGAACAGACGAGGAGCUUGCUCCUCUGACGUUAGCGGCGGACGGGUGAGUAACACGUGGAUAACCUACCUAUAAGACUGGGAUAACUUCGGGAAACCGGAGCUAAUACCGGAUAAUAUAUUGAACCGCAUGGUUCAAUAGUGAAAGACGGUUUUGCUGUCACUUAUAGAUGGAUCCGCGCCGCAUUAGCUAGUUGGUAAGGUAACGGCUUACCAAGGCGACGAUGCUUAGCCGACCUGAGAGGGUGAUCGGCCACACGGGAACUGAGAAACGGUCCAGACACCUACGGGAGGCAGCAGUAGGGAAUCUUCCGCAAUGGGCGAAAGCCUGACGGAGCAACGCCGCGUGAGUGAUGAAGGUCUUCGGAUCGUAAAACUCUGUUAUUAGGGAAGAACAAAUGUGUAAGUAACUAUGCACGUCUUGACGGUACCGAAUCAGAAAGCCACGGCUACUACGUG